GUAACACGUAUGUAACCUACCCUUAUCAGGGGGAUAGCCUCUCGAAAGAGAGAUUAAGCCCGCAUAACAUCACGGAAUAGCAUUGUAACUGUGAUCAAAUAUUUAUCAAGGACAAGGAUGGGCAUGCGGAACAUUAGCUAGUUGGUAAGGUAACGGCUUACCAAGGCUACGAUGUUUAGGGGAUCUGAGAGGAUGACCCCCAACUGGUACUGAGACACGGACCAAAGAACUCCCCUUAACCGGGAGGCAGCAGUAAGGCAAUCAUUGGUCAAUGGGCGGAAGCCUGAACCAGCCAUGCCGCGUGCAGGAAGACGGCCCUACGGGUUGUAAACUGCUUUUGCAAGGGGAAUAAACCUCAUUCACGUGUCAAUGAGUUGAAUGUACUCUGAGAAUCACGGAUCGGUAACUUCCGUGCCAGGCAGCCGCGGUAAUACGGAGGAUCCGAGCGUUAUCCGGGAUUCAUCGGGUUUACACGGGUAGCGUAGGCGGCUUAUCUAAGUCCAAGGGGUGAAAGACGGUAGCU
This 523-nucleotide ribosomal RNA is filed under the name uncultured bacterium. Its description in RNAcentral is "bacterial SSU rRNA". It matches the Rfam family "Bacterial small subunit ribosomal RNA", at positions 110 to 609 of the family's 1533-position model. The record is from RNAcentral.